Paramisgurnus dabryanus is the source of this 748-nucleotide long non-coding RNA. RefSeq lists it as uncharacterized. The record is from RefSeq and is a predicted model, not a curated record. NCBI's taxonomy places the organism in Eukaryota, Metazoa, Chordata, Actinopteri, Cypriniformes, Cobitidae.
ACAGUGGUGGACAGUAACGAAGUAAAUGUAAUUCGUUACUGUACUUAAGUAGUUUUUUGGCGUAUCUGUACUUUACUCAAGUACUUUUAUUUUGGGAGACUUUUACUUUUACUUUACUACAUUUUAAAGUCAAAUAUCUUACUUUUCACUCUACUACAUUUUGAAAAUUCGGUCGUUCCUUUUUAUUUAUCAGUGGAUAAAAAACUUAACUGGAUAAAAUAAAGCUGCAAAAAAAAAAAAAAAAAAAAAAACCGCACACGUGAUGCGUCAAACCACCAAUCAGGGUACAGCAUGCGCUUUUAAACUUGUUUUGGUUGCCGCGCUGGUUCACGAAAGCUAAGAGAGUGCAGCAGCCAGCGUAUCGUUUGGAGAAUAAAACUGCAUUUAAAAACAACGGAGGAAAUUACUUGACCCGCCACAACAACAAUGGCCUUAUUUACGCGAGUUUUUUAAGUCCUUGAAAUAGAAGAACGAGUCCUUCGUGUCUUCUCAGCCUGCCUCGAAACUGUGCUAUUUCUUUUUACAAGAAUACUCCUUCAAAUCUAAGGAAACGCGUAGAGAGAAAGCAUGGUAGCCAACAUUAAAAGGUAUGUUACUGUAACAUCAUCAAGGAAAAGAAACCUGGAAAGUGAGGAGGCUCCAUCAACCUCCAGAUAGUAAAAGAAAACUCCUGUGAACCUGUGCUUAAUUCAAGUUUUUACUACACUUAAACUGUUAAAUUAUUUAACAAAUAAAUCAUGAAAUGAGA